RNAcentral lists this transfer RNA (73 nucleotides) under Loxodonta africana (African savanna elephant). It matches the Rfam family "tRNA". From Rfam's summary of the family: Transfer RNA (tRNA) molecules are approximately 80 nucleotides in length. Their secondary structure includes four short double-helical elements and three loops (D, anti-codon, and T loops). Lineage: Eukaryota; Metazoa; Chordata; Mammalia; Proboscidea; Elephantidae. The record is from Rfam by way of RNAcentral.
CCCUGGGUGGCACAAACGGUUAAGCAUUAGGCUACUAACCGAAAGGUUGGUGGUUCGAACUCACCCACAGGCA